Myotis daubentonii (Daubenton's bat) is the source of this 2210-nucleotide long non-coding RNA. RefSeq lists it as uncharacterized. Lineage: Eukaryota; Metazoa; Chordata; Mammalia; Chiroptera; Vespertilionidae. The record is from RefSeq and is a predicted model, not a curated record. The transcript has 3 exons.
CGGGCGGGGCCGGUGGAUGGCACUCGCACCUGACGUUCCCUCUCGCUGUCCGUCUCGCCCGGCCCCAGCCGGCCCUCCGGUUUGCUCUUCCCGUAACUUUGUUCAGAAGGUGGGAGGGGAGGGGAAGCGCCGAGGGGCCCCCGGAGAGAGACGGGAGAGCGACGAGGACCAGGAGGCCAGACCCGAGAGCAAGUCCCCGAGCGCCCCCGGGCUGGGCGCGCGGCUGGGAGGCGUCGCCGCCGCUGCCGCCGCCGCCGCCGGAUGCGCUCUGCUUAGCGGGGCUGCCGGGGGCGCCUGAAGGCCACCGCGCCAAGGACACGCGGCCGCCCGCGCUCGCGCUCCACCGCCCCGGCGCCGCCAGAGCCGGAGCCGAGCCGGCGAGCGGAGCGGCGGGGAGCGCGGGCGCAGGGCGGCAGCAGGGAGGGCGCGCGGGAGGCGGCCCCUCCUCGGCGAGCCAUGCGUGCCGCGGGCAGCUGAGGAGCCGCCGCGCGCCGCUGCCAAGUCUCCGCUCGGCUUUUGUCUUGCCCUCCAGUGAAUGGGAAGAUGGAGAUGGAUGUGGAGGGAGUUUCUCCGCGCCCGGAGCCCAUCCCCCGGCCCCAGGGGGCUGGCGGAGCCUGCCAGGCGCCGCCACCGCCGCCCCAGCCCCAGCCCCAGCCGCAGCCGCUAGCUCAGGAUGAACUGCCCGGCGAGAGUGCGGGACCCGAGGACGGCGACGAUCCCGAGGCGAGACCCCGCGGCGAGAAAGGGGAGAGCAAGUAUUUCAGUGACAAGAUCCACUGAGGAGAGUUGGGGCAAGGCUGGCUGAGGUUCUCAAGGAGCUGUUUUGAGUUCAGGUGCCCACAUGGCAAUGGAAUGAUGCCUCCUGACCAUUCAGACCUUUGAGACCUCUGGGCGGUCUUAGAAAUCACCUCAAGCCUCCCAACGAGGAUCCGACCACCUGGGGGACUUCCAGGGAAAGGUAGCAGACAUAUCAUGGACUGAAAGGUGAUGGGUACCCCAAAGAGCUCACUACAAGACCUCAAAGACUCCAAGCCACCGGCUGCUGCAACAUAUAAAGCCACCAGUCUGGAGAGGCAGCAGGAAGCAAGAAGCAAGCCUGGAGGAGGUGAGGAAACAUCACUCUUUCCUCUGCCCUUGACUCCAUCGACCUUUAGCUGUCAGAUGGUUUGGGCCCAGGACUGAUGGGCUUUCUCCUGUGUGUCCUUUCACAGGCUCUAUUGUUGUUAUUGUUUUUGUUGUUUUUGGCCAGAGGACAGACCACCUUCUCAGGUGUCCUGGGGAACUGCUGAAGGACAGUGAGGAAGAUGCUGCUGGUCCCCAGGACAGAAACACAGCAGCUGGAAGCAAGAGGCACCUAGAGUGGGACUCAAGCCCUUCAGACGGAGCUGUCUGAGCUGUGGUGCCCAAUUGGACUGUUUUUGCUUUGCCAUCAUUUGCAUAACACACAGUUCUGGAUGUUUUCCAUUGGUUGGCUUUCUUUCUUCUUUUUUCCCCCCUGUCCUUUCUUUUUCUCCUCUUGGCCCUGGGAAUUGUAAGAAAAGAAUUGCUUUAGAAAGUAUAAUUCUGUUGGUGACAUUAGCCUUGUUUUAUGAACAAAUUCUGUCACUGGGGAUUUUCUGCAUUGCAGUCCCAGGUUACCUAGUAAAUGGGGCUGCGUGGUUUGAUUUGUGUAGUACUGAUCCUUAGAUUAAAAAUACAUUUUCUUUCUGGCUUGCUUUUUUUUUUUUUUUUUUUUUUAGUUUGGAUUCAGGUAAUGUCCUGAAUCACAUUUGCUUAGCUACUGAAGCGAUCUCAUUGUGGUAUCGCUUGGAUUUGAAAUAUAAUCAAACAUAUAUUAUACCAGGGGCGCCUGCACACUGUUUGAUAUAUAUGUUACACUGCAAAGAAACACAAACCUAAUAGGUUGAAAUUUAAUUCCUGUCUGAUCCUGCAGCUGGAACGGGGGAGAAAUUAUACACAUCAAAAAUGGCUUCAAAUACCCUGAAUGUAAGCUAACCAACAGUAAGUGGCUGGUUUCCAAAUGCCCUUUUCUAAGGCAAAGCAGAAACUGGAGAUCCGCGGACCUCGCCACCAGGGUUGCUCGGGUCUGUCCGGGGGCCUGCCCAUUGCGGAGGGAUUAGGAACAAGGCAUGCCUCUCUGUCUUUUACGGAAACUGUGGUAUUUCUGACCUACGUUCUGUAACUGCCUGCCUUGCAAUAAAACACCUUAA